This 608-nucleotide ribosomal RNA is filed under the name uncultured bacterium. RNAcentral describes it as "bacterial SSU rRNA". It matches the Rfam family "Bacterial small subunit ribosomal RNA", at positions 56 to 645 of the family's 1533-position model. The record is from RNAcentral.
UGCAGUCGAGCGGAACGAGUUAUCUGAACCUUCGGGGAACGAUAACGGCGUCGAGCGGCGGACGGGUGAGUAAUGCCUAGGAAAUUGCCCUGAUGUGGGGGAUAACCAUUGGAAACGAUGGCUAAUACCGCAUAAUGCCUACGGGCCAAAGAGGGGGACCUUCGGGCCUCUCGCGUCAGGAUAUGCCUAGGUGGGAUUAGCUAGUUGGUGAGGUAAGGGCUCACCAAGGCGACGAUCCCUAGCUGGUCUGAGAGGAUGAUCAGCCACACUGGAACUGAGACACGGUCCAGACUCCUACGGGAGGCAGCAGUGGGGAAUAUUGCACAAUGGGCGCAAGCCUGAUGCAGCCAUGCCGCGUGUGUGAAGAAGGCCUUCGGGUUGUAAAGCACUUUCAGUCGUGAGGAAGGUAGUGUAGUUAAUAGCUGCAUUAUUUGACGUUAGCGACAGAAGAAGCACCGGCUAACUCCGUGCCAGCAGCCGCGGUAGUACGGAGGGUGCGAGCGUUAAUCGGAAUUACUGGGCGUAAAGCGCAUGCAGGUGGUUUGUUAAGUCAGAUGUGAAAGCCCGGGGCUCAACCUCGGAAUUGCAUUUGAAACUGGCAGACUACA